RNAcentral lists this ribosomal RNA (440 nucleotides) under uncultured bacterium. RNAcentral describes it as "partial 16S ribosomal RNA". It matches the Rfam family "Bacterial small subunit ribosomal RNA", at positions 338 to 795 of the family's 1533-position model. The record is from RNAcentral.
CCUACGGGCGGCAGCAGUAGGGAAUAUUGCUCAAUGGGGGAAACCCUGAAGCAGCAACGCCGCGUGGAGGAUGAAGGUUUUCGGAUUGUAAACUCCUUUUGUUAGAGAAGAUAAUGACUGUAUCUAACGAAUAAGCACCUGCUAACUCCGUGCCAGCAGCCGCGGUAAUACGGAGGGUGCGAGCGUUAGUCGGAAUCACUGGGCGUAAAGGGCGCGGAGGCGGGUAAGCAAGUCAGAUGUGAAAUCCUAGGGCUUAACCAUAGAACUGCAUUUGAAACUGUUAUUCUAGAGUAUGGGAGAGGUAGGUGGAAUUCUUGGUGUAGGGGUAAAAUGCGUAGAGAUCAAGAGGAAUACUCAUUGCGAAGGCGGCCUGCUAGAACAUAACUGACGCUGAUGCGCGAAAGCGUGGGGAGUAAACAGGAUUAGAUACCCGUGUAGUC